RNAcentral lists this ribosomal RNA (430 nucleotides) under uncultured bacterium. Its description in RNAcentral is "partial 16S ribosomal RNA". It matches the Rfam family "Bacterial small subunit ribosomal RNA", at positions 29 to 507 of the family's 1533-position model. The record is from RNAcentral.
AACGAACGCUGGCGGCAGGCCUAACACAUGCAAGUCGAACGCCCCGCAAGGGGAGUGGCCGACGGGUGAGUAACACGUGGGAACCUUCCCUAUAGUACGGAAUAGCCCAGGGAAACUUGGAGUAAUACCGUAUACGCCCGAAAGGGGAAAGAAUUUCGCUAUAGGAUGGGCCCGCGUAGGAUUAGCUAGUUGGUGAGGUAAUGGCUCACCAAGGCGACGAUCCUUAGCUGGUUUGAGAGAACGACCAGCCACACUGGGACUGAGACACGGCCCAGACUCCUACGGGAGGCAGCAGUGGGGAAUAUUGGACAAUGGGCGCAAGCCUGAUCCAGCCAUACCGCGUGAGUGAUGAAGGCCUUAGGGUUGUAAAGCUCUUUUGGCGGGGACGAUAAUGACGGUACCCGCAGAAUAAGUCCCGGCUAACUUCGUG